This 343-nucleotide long non-coding RNA is filed under the name Androctonus crassicauda. Lineage: Eukaryota; Metazoa; Arthropoda; Arachnida; Scorpiones; Buthidae. The record is from RNAcentral.
UUUUUUUCUCUGAUUUCCUAGUGGGGUUGUAUUGUUUCGUCAUGUGUGGUGCUUGCAUGUGGCCUUGUUCCUUGGCUCUUGAACGUCUUCACAUUGGUUGGUGUGGGGCUGUUGCAUUCCACGAUGGAUGCCUUGCGGAAGGCGCCUGCCAUGCCCAUGUUGGUGCCCUAUUUUGUACCCAUGUAUUGAAGCUUCUUGUCCGUUUCCCUUUGGUUAGUGAUGUACAUGCUAGCUCUUCUAAAAUAAGGGCUGAAGGCGGACGUUCUGUACCAUGUUGGAUCUGUGGACCAUCUAGGGAUAAUAAUAGGUUCAUAAACUGAUUUUCUGUUUACAAAUGUCUCCA